This 889-nucleotide ribosomal RNA is filed under the name Cladonia pyxidata. Its description in RNAcentral is "SSU rRNA". It matches the Rfam family "Bacterial small subunit ribosomal RNA", at positions 380 to 1231 of the family's 1533-position model. Lineage: Eukaryota; Fungi; Ascomycota; Lecanoromycetes; Lecanorales; Cladoniaceae. The record is from RNAcentral.
UUUUUGGGGGAGGAAGGUAUAGGCAAUAGCUGAUUGCACCAACAAACAGUUGAUGCAAAAUUGAUUAUAUCAAAUAAAAUUCUAGGUAGAUUUUUGAUAAUGACAUUGCUUACCUAAGUCUUGACCAAAUUACGUGCCAGCAGUCGCGGUAAUACGUAAAAGACUAGUGUUAUUCAUCUUUAAUUGGUUUAAAGGGUACCUAGACAGCGAAUAAAGCCAUAGUAGGGACUAAUUCGCUAGAGUUACUUAUGAGGGGGUAUUAAAGUACUGCAGGUGUAGAGAUGAAAUUUUGUUAUACCUCUUCUCGUAUGAGAAACUAUGGCACAGGUAUAGGUGAAAGCAUCCCCUUAUGUGAUAACUGACGUUGAGGGACGAAGGCUUUGUGUCGCGAACAGGAUUAGAUACCCCAAUAGUCAAAGCAGAAAAUGAUGAAUGUCAUAGAUUAGAUAUGCAAUUUAUUCUAUAAAUGAAAGUGUAAGCAUUCCACCUCAAGAGUAAUUUGGCAACAUUGGAACUGAAAUCAUUAGACCGUUUCUGAAACCAGUAGUGAAGUAUGUUGUUUAAUUUGAUGAUACGCAAAAAACCUUACCACAAUUUGAAUAUUUAUAUAUAUCUUUUAUUGAUUUAUACUAACAUAUUUGUAGACAAUUAAAAUGAUGCCUAUGUCCCGUUUGUGAGAUUAAGCAUCAAAAAAGAUAAUAUAUUUACAAGCGUUGCACGGCUGUCUUCAGUUAAUGUCGCGAGAUUUUGGUUAGUUCCAUUAAAUUAACGUAAACCCUUACUUUAUUUAUAUAUAAAAGUAGUUCUCCGCUAUAUUGGAUAUGAUAACAGGGACUAAGACAAGUCAUCAUGGCCCUAAAUAUUUGUGGGCUAUAGACGUUGCCACAUA